UACAGAGGUCUCAAGCGUUGUUCGGAUUCAUUGGGCGUAAAGGGUGCGUAGGCGGCGCGGUAAGUCGGGUGUGAAAUCUCGGAGCUUAACUCCGAAACUGCAUUCGAUACUGACGUGCUUGAGGACUGGAGAGGAGACUGGAAUUUACGGUGUAGCGGUGAAAUGCGUAGAUAUCGUAAGGAAGACCAGUGGCGAAGGCGGGUCUCUGGACAGUUCCUGACGCUGAGGCACGAAGGUCAGGGGAGCAAACGGG
Molecule: ribosomal RNA, 253 nt
Filed under: uncultured bacterium
Lineage: Bacteria
Description: partial 16S ribosomal RNA
Rfam family: Bacterial small subunit ribosomal RNA
Source: RNAcentral